CAGUAUGUAGUUUAAUUAAAAAUGUAAUAUUUGGGUUAUUAAGAUAAAUUACUGA
RNAcentral lists this transfer RNA (55 nucleotides) under Uncinaria sanguinis. RNAcentral describes it as "tRNA-Pro". The record is from RNAcentral. Lineage: Eukaryota; Metazoa; Nematoda; Chromadorea; Rhabditida; Ancylostomatidae.